GGUGAGUAACGCGUAGGUAACCUGCCUAUUAGCGGGGGAUAACUAUUGGAAACGAUAGCUAAUACCGCAUAAUAUUAAUUAUUGCAUGAUAAUUGAUUGAAAGAUGCAAGCGCAUCACUAGUAGAUGGACCUGCGUUUGUAUUAGCUAGUUGGUAAGGUAAGAGCUUACCAAGGCGACGAUACAUAGCCGACCUGAGAGGGUGAUCGGCCACACUGGGACUGAGACACGGCCCAGACUCCUACGGGAGGCAGCAGUAGGGAAUCUUCGGCAAUGGACGAAAGUCUGACCGAGCAACGCCGCGUGAGUGAAGAAGGUUUUCGGAUCGUAAAGCUCUGUUGUAAGUCAAGAACGUGUGUGAGAGUGGAAAGUUCACACAGUGACGGUAGCUACCAGAA
RNAcentral lists this ribosomal RNA (396 nucleotides) under Streptococcus mutans. RNAcentral describes it as "bacterial SSU rRNA". It matches the Rfam family "Bacterial small subunit ribosomal RNA", at positions 105 to 488 of the family's 1533-position model. Lineage: Bacteria; Bacillati; Bacillota; Bacilli; Lactobacillales; Streptococcaceae. The record is from RNAcentral.